CAGAGUAGACAAGACAUAUUAUCCAAAUCCGGUAUGAUAAUAUUACCUUAAGCAUUAUUCAGCUAAUAACAGUUAUGUAAUUUGUAUAUUCAAGCAUGCUCAUAUAAGGAAAAAUUAUUUGAAAGUACUUCCAAGUGUUAAAUUGCAGACGAACAGAGGAUAUUGUGAAAGUGAAAAAGAAACUUUUAUAGACAAUGACGUCGGCACGCCUAAUCAUUAUUUUUGUGCUGCUUUUGAUUUUACAUGUAGGAUUAAAUGUAGGAUUAUAUGAAGUAAUGGCUGAAGACAGUGAUGGAAACAGCGUAAGAUUGAUUGUAAAACGAAGUCUGUUAUGGGGAACACGGCGAUAUGGAAUUUACAAUUUACGAUCCAGGGGAAGAAGACGUCCCAGUUCAAGACGAAAAUGGAGUUAACUGUGCAAUUUCUCGUCAAUAAAGCAAACAUUUAUAAUAAAAAAAAAUGGCGUAUGAAUCAUAUACUGUAAAACGAGAAUAAUUGGCGCAUUACUAAUUUUAGUGCCUUUGGUGCAAGAGCCACUGAACGCUAAAAUUUAUUGUGCGCUAAUGGAUUUCUAAAUAUUUUUUGUGCAUGUUUAAAGCUUUCACAUUACCACAUUUAAACUGUAACGCGCGAUUACGUAGUCUCGAAGGGGUCGUUGGAUUUUAUAUAUACACACUAAGACUGUACAUGGUAGGAUCGUUCAAGACAGUUUUGCUAAAUUCUAAUACUAGGUACCUAUUAUUAGCAACUUCAAAAUUUGGCUUCUGGACGUGUCAAUUACUAGUACCUAUCACUUCGAGAUAAGAAGACAUGUACAUUAUUAUGAUAUAUAACCGUUCUUCCAAGUUCGGUUAACUUUACCGUGGUUUUGCAAUCACAUGGACGUGAUAACUAAAAAAAUGGUUGUCUGGACUGGUGCAAAAAUAUUUCAAGAAAUUGUAAACCUUCUGUAAUGUUUAAAAAUCUCUCCUUCUGAAACCAUCCUUAUUAAACUAAACAAGUUUUUUUUUUACUUCAAAUCCCAUUUUUGUGAAACUUUGAAUAAAGAAUUAAAAAAUA
This is a long non-coding RNA of Saccostrea cuccullata (small rock oyster), 1059 nucleotides long. RefSeq lists it as uncharacterized. The transcript has 2 exons. The record is from RefSeq and is a predicted model, not a curated record. Lineage: Eukaryota; Metazoa; Mollusca; Bivalvia; Ostreida; Ostreidae.